RNAcentral lists this transfer RNA (71 nucleotides) under Acidobacteriota bacterium. RNAcentral describes it as "Acidobacteria bacterium tRNA-Met". It matches the Rfam family "tRNA". Rfam says of the family: Transfer RNA (tRNA) molecules are approximately 80 nucleotides in length. Their secondary structure includes four short double-helical elements and three loops (D, anti-codon, and T loops). Further hydrogen bonds mediate the characteristic L-shaped molecular structure. tRNAs have two regions of fundamental functional importance: the anti-codon, which is responsible for specific mRNA codon recognition, and the 3' end, to which the tRNAs corresponding amino acid is attached (by aminoacyl-tRNA synthetases). tRNAs cope with the degeneracy of the genetic code in two manners: having more than one tRNA (with a specific anti-codon) for a particular amino acid; and 'wobble' base-pairing, i.e. permitting non-standard base-pairing at the 3rd anti-codon position. The record is from RNAcentral. Lineage: Bacteria; Pseudomonadati; Acidobacteriota.
GCGGGAAUAGAGCAAGGGCGGCUCGAUGGUCUCAUAAGACAUAACCGGCAGGUUCGACUCCUGCUCCCGCA